GCCGGGGUCGCCUAGCCCGGUAGGGCGCGGCGCUGGAGACGCCGUGGUCGAAAGACCUCGGGAGUUCAAAUCUCCCCCCCGGCG
Molecule: transfer RNA, 84 nt
Filed under: Methanobacteriota archaeon
Lineage: Archaea; Methanobacteriati; Methanobacteriota
Description: Euryarchaeota archaeon tRNA-Ser
Rfam family: tRNA
About the family: Transfer RNA (tRNA) molecules are approximately 80 nucleotides in length. Their secondary structure includes four short double-helical elements and three loops (D, anti-codon, and T loops). Further hydrogen bonds mediate the characteristic L-shaped molecular structure. tRNAs have two regions of fundamental functional importance: the anti-codon, which is responsible for specific mRNA codon recognition, and the 3' end, to which the tRNAs corresponding amino acid is attached (by aminoacyl-tRNA synthetases). tRNAs cope with the degeneracy of the genetic code in two manners: having more than one tRNA (with a specific anti-codon) for a particular amino acid; and 'wobble' base-pairing, i.e. permitting non-standard base-pairing at the 3rd anti-codon position.
Source: RNAcentral